Molecule: ribosomal RNA, 495 nt
Filed under: uncultured archaeon
Lineage: Archaea
Description: bacterial SSU rRNA
Rfam family: Archaeal small subunit ribosomal RNA
Source: RNAcentral
GGCCCUACGGGGCGCAGCAGGCGCGAAACCUCCGCAAUGCACGGAAGUGCGACGGGGGGACCCCAAGUGCCACUCUUAACGGGGUGGCUUUUCUUGAGUGUAAAAAGCUUUUGGAAUAAGAGCUGGGCAAGACCGGUGCCAGCCGCCGCGGUAACACCGGCAGCUCAAGUGGUAGCCAUUUUUAUUGGGCCUAAAGCGUUCGUAGCCGGUUUGAUAAGUCUCUGGUGAAAUCCCACAGCUUAACUGUGGGAAUUGCUGGAGAUACUAUUAGACUUGAGGUUGGGAGAGGUUAGCGGUACUCCCAGGGUAGGGGUGAAAUCCUGUAAUCCUGGGAGGACCACCUGUGGCGAAGGCGGCUAACUGGAACAAACCUGACGGUGAGGGACGAAAGCCAGGGGCGCGAACCGGAUUAGAUACCCGGGUAGUCCUGGCCGUAAACGAUGUGGACUUGGUGUUGGGAUGGCUUCGAGCUGCCCCAGUGCCGAAGGGAAGCUG